Molecule: long non-coding RNA, 580 nt
Organism: Nematostella vectensis (starlet sea anemone)
Lineage: Eukaryota; Metazoa; Cnidaria; Anthozoa; Actiniaria; Edwardsiidae
Exons: 2
Source: RefSeq, a predicted model, not a curated record
CAAGGAUGAUUAAGGAAGAAAUAUCUUAAAAAGCCAAAAUCUGGGUAUGUGCAUUUCGGUCUCAUGUUAUUUGUGUUUUGAAAAUGAUUUUGGAAUACAAGGAACCGAUGGCCAUUGUAGGAAAUUGUGUCUUUCUUUUCUACCUAGAGUUGCGUAUUUCCAGGUUUUUCCGUCGUGUCUAGCUAUCAGGGAACAGCUCUACCUUCUCCCACAUGGCAUAGAAACAUGUUCUAACCUAUCAUUAUCAGAUAAUAACAGUUGAGUUGUUGUUUGUGUCUAAUCAAGCUCAAUUUUGAUAUCAUUGCAGUCCUUACGUUAUCUUCAGGGAAUGCUGAGUAUUCGAAACUUGCUCAAAGUAAAUAUGUUUUGGUGAUAAUGUUGGACACAUUUAGAGACAACAAACCAGAAUACCACUACACAGGCCUAGGAGAAUCGCAAGCUAGCACUACAAGCAAAAUAAUGUGAUGGUUCCCAUUACUUGUGUGCUGAUUGGCUUUCAAAGGGUCUAGUAAUUUAUUAUCUGUUCUUGGUACUGGGUUGCACAAGCAGGUGUAGAAAGAAAUAAAAAAUAUUGUUUGUA